This 1427-nucleotide ribosomal RNA is filed under the name Klebsiella sp. CCFM8372. RNAcentral describes it as "bacterial SSU rRNA". It matches the Rfam family "Bacterial small subunit ribosomal RNA". The record is from RNAcentral. Lineage: Bacteria; Pseudomonadati; Pseudomonadota; Gammaproteobacteria; Enterobacterales; Enterobacteriaceae.
AGCUACACAUGCAAGUCGAGCGGUAGCACAGAGAGCUUGCUCUCGGGUGACGAGCGGCGGACGGGUGAGUAAUGUCUGGGAAACUGCCUGAUGGAGGGGGAUAACUACUGGAAACGGUAGCUAAUACCGCAUAACGUCGCAAGACCAAAGUGGGGGACCUUCGGGCCUCAUGCCAUCAGAUGUGCCCAGAUGGGAUUAGCUAGUAGGUGGGGUAACGGCUCACCUAGGCGACGAUCCCUAGCUGGUCUGAGAGGAUGACCAGCCACACUGGAACUGAGACACGGUCCAGACUCCUACGGGAGGCAGCAGUGGGGAAUAUUGCACAAUGGGCGCAAGCCUGAUGCAGCCAUGCCGCGUGUGUGAAGAAGGCCUUCGGGUUGUAAAGCACUUUCAGCGGGGAGGAAGGCGUUAAGGUUAAUAACCUUGUCGAUUGACGUUACCCGCAGAAGAAGCACCGGCUAACUCCGUGCCAGCAGCCGCGGUAAUACGGAGGGUGCAAGCGUUAAUCGGAAUUACUGGGCGUAAAGCGCACGCAGGCGGUCUGUCAAGUCGGAUGUGAAAUCCCCGGGCUCAACCUGGGAACUGCAUUCGAAACUGGCAGGCUAGAGUCUUGUAGAGGGGGGUAGAAUUCCAGGUGUAGCGGUGAAAUGCGUAGAGAUCUGGAGGAAUACCGGUGGCGAAGGCGGCCCCCUGGACAAAGACUGACGCUCAGGUGCGAAAGCGUGGGGAGCAAACAGGAUUAGAUACCCUGGUAGUCCACGCCGUAAACGAUGUCGAUUUGGAGGUUGUGCCCUUGAGGCGUGGCUUCCGGAGCUAACGCGUUAAAUCGACCGCCUGGGGAGUACGGCCGCAAGGUUAAAACUCAAAUGAAUUGACGGGGGCCCGCACAAGCGGUGGAGCAUGUGGUUUAAUUCGAUGCAACGCGAAGAACCUUACCUGGUCUUGACAUCCACAGAACUUUCCAGAGAUGGAUUGGUGCCUUCGGGAACUGUGAGACAGGUGCUGCAUGGCUGUCGUCAGCUCGUGUUGUGAAAUGUUGGGUUAAGUCCCGCAACGAGCGCAACCCUUAUCCUUUGUUGCCAGCGGUUAGGCCGGGAACUCAAAGGAGACUGCCAGUGAUAAACUGGAGGAAGGUGGGGAUGACGUCAAGUCAUCAUGGCCCUUACGACCAGGGCUACACACGUGCUACAAUGGCAUAUACAAAGAGAAGCGACCUCGCGAGAGCAAGCGGACCUCAUAAAGUAUGUCGUAGUCCGGAUUGGAGUCUGCAACUCGACUCCAUGAAGUCGGAAUCGCUAGUAAUCGUAGAUCAGAAUGCUACGGUGAAUACGUUCCCGGGCCUUGUACACACCGCCCGUCACACCAUGGGAGUGGGUUGCAAAAGAAGUAGGUAGCUUAACCUUCGGGAGGGCGCUACCACUUUGAUU